UAGGGAAUCUUCGGCAAUGGACGAAAGUCUGACCGAGCAACGCCGCGUGAGUGAAGAAGGUUUUCGGAUCGUAAGACUCUGUUGGUAGAGAAGAACGUUGGUGAGAGUGGAAAGCUCAUCAAGUGACGGUAACUACCCAGAAAGGGACGGCUAACUACGUACCAG
Molecule: ribosomal RNA, 165 nt
Filed under: uncultured bacterium
Lineage: Bacteria
Description: partial 16S rRNA
Rfam family: Bacterial small subunit ribosomal RNA
Source: RNAcentral